AUACGGAGGAUCCGAGCGUUAUCCGGCUUUAUUGGGUUUAAAGGGUGCGCAGGCGGCCAUUUAAGUCAGCGGUUAAAUCGUGGGGCUCAACCCCAUUCUGCCGUUGAUACUGGGUGGCUUGAUUGCGGUCGAGGUUGGCGGAAUUCGUUGUGUAGCGGUGAAAUGCAUAGAUAUGACGAAGAGUACCGAUUGCGUAGGCAGCUGACCAGACCGCAAAUGACGCUCAUGCACGAAAGUGCGGGGAUCGAACAGGAUUAGAUACCCUGGUAGUCCGCACAGUAAACGAUGAAUACUUGUUUUCGGCGAUAUAAUGUCGGAGGCAAAGCGAAAGCGAUAAGUAUUCCACCUGGGGAGUACGCCGGCAACGGUGAAACUUAAAGGAAUUGACGGGG
This 392-nucleotide ribosomal RNA is filed under the name uncultured bacterium. Its description in RNAcentral is "partial 16S ribosomal RNA". It matches the Rfam family "Bacterial small subunit ribosomal RNA", at positions 523 to 918 of the family's 1533-position model. The record is from RNAcentral.